RNAcentral lists this ribosomal RNA (415 nucleotides) under uncultured eukaryote. RNAcentral describes it as "SSU rRNA". It matches the Rfam family "Eukaryotic small subunit ribosomal RNA", at positions 592 to 1013 of the family's 1831-position model. The record is from RNAcentral.
CAAUAGCGUAUAUUAAAGUUGUUGCGGUUAAAAAGCUCGUAGUUGGAUUUCUGCCGAGGACGACCGGUCCGCCCUCUGGGUGAGUAUCUGGCUCGGCCUGGGCAUCUUCUUGGAGAACGUAUCUGCACUUGACUGUGUGGUGCGGUAUCCAGGACUUUACUUGAGGAAAUUAGAGUGUUUCAAGCAGGCACACGCCUUGAAUACAUUAGCAUGGAAUAAUAAGAUAGGACCUCGGUUCUAUUUUGUUGGUUUCUAGAGCUGAGGUAAUGAUUAAUAGGGAUAGUUGGGGGCAUUCGUAUUGAACAGUCAGAGGUGAAAUUCUUAGAUUUGUUCAAGACGAACUACUGCGAAAGCAUUUGCCAAGUACGUUCCCAUUAAUCAAGAACGAAAGUUAGGGGAUCGAAGAUGAUCAGAU